UACGUAGGGUGCAAGCGUUAAUCGGAAUUACUGGGCGUAAAGCGUGCGCAGGCGGUGAUGUAAGACAGUUGUGAAAUCCCCGGGCUCAACCUGGGAACUGCAUCUGUGACUGCAUUGCUGGAGUGCGGCAGAGGGGGAUGGAAUUCCGCGUGUAGCAGUGAAAUGCGUAGAUAUGCGGAGGAACACCGAUGGCGAAGGCAAUCCCCUGGGCCUGCACUGACGCUGAGGAACGAAAGCGUGGGGAGCGAACAGG
This 253-nucleotide ribosomal RNA is filed under the name uncultured bacterium. Its description in RNAcentral is "partial 16S ribosomal RNA". It matches the Rfam family "Bacterial small subunit ribosomal RNA", at positions 524 to 776 of the family's 1533-position model. The record is from RNAcentral.